Long non-coding RNA from Cebus imitator (Panamanian white-faced capuchin), 1107 nucleotides. RefSeq lists it as uncharacterized. The transcript has 2 exons. The record is from RefSeq and is a predicted model, not a curated record. Lineage: Eukaryota; Metazoa; Chordata; Mammalia; Primates; Cebidae.
UAAACAGCAAGCAAAGAAUGACAAUGACUAUAUUCUCAAAUAUGAUGUUGCAGAAUAAUAUCAUCAUGAAAGUUACCUCUAAAUGCUUUUUUAUGCACAAGAGUUAGAAAACUUGUGAUUGUGAGUUUUCAUUUGUGAAAAUACCUCUGUAAAAUUUCUUUGAUGAAGUUCUACUUAAAAAAAAAUCAAUUGGUGAAAUUCACUAGAAAAUCUAAUAAUGUAAUGAAUACAGAACAAAAGAGUGUCUCAUGAAAGGGUAAGGAAAAAAUCUUAGUUGUCAACCAUCCUUUAACUUGUGUAAAGUUGUAUAUGCACUGAAUUUCUUUUUCUGGUGGUAAUAUAUAUUUUCUAUUUAAGGGUAAUGAACAAAUCUUAAUCAUUAAACUCAUACUUUAACUUGUGUAAUGUUGUGUAUGCACUGCAUUUCUUUUUCUGUAGGUAACAUUUUUUUUUUAUUCAUGAAAUUUCUUUUCCAGCUUUACCAACACACCUUAGGUACACAACAUGGAAUUUUAUUAAUUUAUUUUAAUCAAGGUGUGGUUAUGUAAAUUUGGAGAUAAGAAAUGGCAUUCCAGGAAUUAUAUAAUUAAACAAUUGGCAGAUUUGCCUAGCUAUCAGUGUUAAUGUUAAAUACAGACACUGCAUAACUAUUGAAAACCUGACCACACAUAGUACCAGACCCUAUAUAUGUGAUACUUUUCUUCCUAUGCAUACAUACCAAUGAUAAAAAUUUAAUUUAUAAGUUAGGCACAGUAAGAGAUUAACAACAAUAACCAAUAAUGAAAUAGAGCAAUUAUGACAAUAUUUCAGCAUUACUGCUCUUGUUUUAUUGGGCCAUUAUGAAGUAAAAUAAGAGUGACUUGAACAUAAGCACUGAGAUACCUCUGCCAUCCAUCUGAUCAUCUGAAAGGCUACUAUGAGACUAACGGGCAGGUGCUGGGGGCUAUUUCAGUUCUACUCUUCCUUUUGGGAAACUACCUUUAAGAACUCCAUGCAUUCACUUAGUAUUACUCCUUUUUAUUUGCUUAUUCCUAGUACAAGAACUACAUUUUAUCAAUCCUCAAGUUUUCCAUUGUAUUUUCAUGUAAUAAAAAAUUACUGAUUGAA